UGGGGAAUAUUGGACAAUGGGCGAAAGCCUGAUCCAGCCAUGCCGCGUGUGUGAAGAAGGUCUUCGGAUUGUAAAGCACUUUAAGUUGGGAGGAAGGGCUGUUACCUAAUACGUGACAGUUUUGACGUUACCAACAGAAUAAGCACCGGCUAACUUCGUGCCAGCAGCCGCGGUAAUACGAAGGGUGCAAGCGUUAAUCGGAAUUACUGGGCGUAAAGCGCGCGUAGGCGGUUUGAUAAGUUGGAUGUGAAAGCCCCGGGCUCAACCUGGGAAUUGCAUCCAAAACUGUCGGACUAGAGUACGGUAGAGGGUGGUGGAAUUUCCUGUGUAGCGGUGAAAUGCGUAGAUAUAGGAAGGAACAUCAGUGGCGAAGGCGACCACCUGGACUGUAACUGACGCUGAGGCACGAAAGCGUGGGGAGCAAACAG
Molecule: ribosomal RNA, 428 nt
Filed under: uncultured bacterium
Lineage: Bacteria
Description: bacterial SSU rRNA
Rfam family: Bacterial small subunit ribosomal RNA
Source: RNAcentral